RNAcentral lists this ribosomal RNA (253 nucleotides) under uncultured prokaryote. RNAcentral's name for it is "partial 16S ribosomal RNA". It matches the Rfam family "Bacterial small subunit ribosomal RNA", at positions 525 to 777 of the family's 1533-position model. The record is from RNAcentral.
ACGUAGGGUGCGAGCGUUAAUCGGAAUUACUGGGCGUAAAGCGUGCGCAGGCGGCGCGUUAAGACAGGUGUGAAAGCCCUGGGCUCAACCUGGGAAUGGCAUUGGAUACUGGCGAUCUAGAGUGCGGUAGAGGGCAGUGGAAUUCCCGGUGUAGCAGUGAAAUGCGUAGAGAUCGGGAGGAACAUCUGUGGCGAAGGCGACUGCCUGGACCAGCACUGACACUGAGGCACGAAAGCGUGGGGAGCAAACAGGA